This 497-nucleotide ribosomal RNA is filed under the name uncultured bacterium. Its description in RNAcentral is "partial 16S ribosomal RNA". It matches the Rfam family "Bacterial small subunit ribosomal RNA", at positions 28 to 507 of the family's 1533-position model. The record is from RNAcentral.
GACGAACGCUGGCGGCGUGCCUAAUACAUGCAAGUAGAACGCUGAAGAGAGGAGCUUGCUCUUCUUGGAUGAGUUGCGAACGGGUGAGUAACGCGUAGGUAACCUGCCUUGUAGCGGGGGAUAACUAUUGGAAACGAUAGCUAAUACCGCAUAACAAUGGAUGACCCAUGUCAUUUAUUUGAAAGGGGCAAAUGCUCCACUACAAGAUGGACCUGCGUUGUAUUAGCUAGUAGGUGAGGUAACGGCUCACCUAGGCGACGAUACAUAGCCGACCUGAGAGGGUGAUCGGCCACACUGGGACUGAGACACGGCCCCGACUCCUACGGGAGGCAGCAGUAGGGAAUCUUCGGCAAUGGGGGCAACCCUGACCGAGCAACGCCGCGUGAGUGAAGAAGGGUUUCGGAUCGUAAAGCUCUGUUGUAAGUCAAGAACGAGUGUGAGAGUGGAAAGUUCACACUGUGACGGUAGCUUACCAGAAAGGGACGGCUAACUACGUG